UCGCAAAUUACCCACUCUCAGCACGAGGAGGUAGUGACGAAAAAUAACGAGACCGUUCUCUUAUGAGGCCGGUCAUCGGAAUGGGUACAAUUUAAACCCUUUAACGAGUAUCUAUGAGAGGGCAAGUCUGGUGCCAGCAGCCGCGGUAAUUCCAGCUCUCAAAGUGCAUAGAAUUAUUGCUGCGGUUAAAAAGCUCGUAGUUGGAUCUGUGCCAUAGGACGUGGUCCACCUUCGGGUGCGUACUACGCUCCUAGGCUUUUUGCUGGUUUUCCCGUCGUAGCCUUCACUGGUUGCGGCGGGUGGCUGGCGAGUUUACUUUGAGAAAAUCAGAGUGCUCAAUACAGGCGUAUCGCUUGAAUGAUUGUGCAUGGAAUAAUAGAAAAGGAUUUCGGUCCUCUUUUAUUGGUUUUGUGGACUGAGAUAAUGGUUAACAGGGACAAACGGGGGCAUUCGUAUCUCUGCGUGAGAGGUGAAAUUCUUGGACCGUAGAGAGACGCCCUACUGCGAAAGCAUUUGCCAAGAAUGUCUUCAUUAAUCAAGAACGAAAGUCAGAGGUUCGAAGGCGAUCAGAUACCGCCCUAGUUCUGACCGUAAACGAUGCCAACUAGCGAUCCGCCGGUGGAUUUUUAGCCCUGGUGGGUAGCUUCCCGGAAACGAAAGUCUUCCGGUUCCGGGGGAAGUAUGGUUGCAAAGCUGAAACUUAAAGGAAUUGACGGAAGGGCACCACCAGGAGUGGAGCCUGCGGCUUAAUUUGACUA
Molecule: ribosomal RNA, 758 nt
Filed under: Cephalobus sp. FL-SType-21
Lineage: Eukaryota; Metazoa; Nematoda; Chromadorea; Rhabditida; Cephalobidae
Description: SSU rRNA
Rfam family: Eukaryotic small subunit ribosomal RNA
Source: RNAcentral